Molecule: ribosomal RNA, 425 nt
Filed under: uncultured bacterium
Lineage: Bacteria
Description: bacterial SSU rRNA
Rfam family: Bacterial small subunit ribosomal RNA
Source: RNAcentral
GUGGGGAAUAUUGCACAAUGGGGGAAACCCUGAUGCAGCGACGCCGCGUGAAGGAAGAAGUAUCUCGGUAUGUAAACUUCUAUCAGCAGGGAAGAAAAUGACGGUACCUGACUAAGAAGCCCCGGCUAACUACGUGCCAGCAGCCGCGGUAAUACGUAGGGGGCAAGCGUUAUCCGGAUUUACUGGGUGUAAAGGGAGCGUAGACGGAAGAGCAAGUCUGAUGUGAAAGGCUGGGGCUUAACCCCAGGACUGCAUUGGAAACUGUUUUUCUAGAGUGCCGGAGAGGUAAGCGGAAUUCCUAGUGUAGCGGUGAAAUGCGUAGAUAUUAGGAGGAACACCAGUGGCGAAGGCGGCUUACUGGACGGUAACUGACGUUGAGGCUCGAAAGCGUGGGGAGCAAACAGGAUUAGAAACCCUAGUAGUCC